This 292-nucleotide ribosomal RNA is filed under the name uncultured bacterium. RNAcentral describes it as "partial 16S ribosomal RNA". It matches the Rfam family "Bacterial small subunit ribosomal RNA", at positions 505 to 796 of the family's 1533-position model. The record is from RNAcentral.
GUGUCAGCCGCCGCGGUAAUACGAAGGGGGCGAGCGUUGUUCGGAGUUACUGGGCGUAAAGGGCGCGUAGGCGGCGCUCCAAGUUAGGCGUGAAAGCCCCGGGCUCAACCUGGGAAUUGCGCUUAAGACUGGAGUGCUCGAGUGCGGAAGAGGUGAGUGGAAUUCCCAGUGUAGAGGUGAAAUUCGUAGAUAUUGGGAAGAACACCAGUGGCGAAGGCGGCUCACUGGUCCGCAACUGACGCUGAGGCGCGAAAGCGUGGGGAGCAAACAGGAUUAGAUACCCUGGUAGUCC